This 405-nucleotide ribosomal RNA is filed under the name uncultured bacterium. RNAcentral describes it as "bacterial SSU rRNA". It matches the Rfam family "Bacterial small subunit ribosomal RNA", at positions 355 to 777 of the family's 1533-position model. The record is from RNAcentral.
UGGGGAAUAUUGCACAAUGGGGGAAACCCUGAUGCAGCGACGCCGCGUGAGUGAAGAAGUAUUUCGGUAUGUAAAGCUCUAUCAGCAGGGAAGAUAAUGACGGUACCUGACUAAGAAGCCCCGGCUAACUACGUGCCAGCAGCCGCGGUAAUACGUAGGGGGCAAGCGUUAUCCGGAUUUACUGGGUGUAAAGGGUGCGUAGGUGGCAAGGCAAGUCAGAUGUGAAAGCCCGGGGCUCAACCCCGGUACUGCAUUUGAAACUGUCUAGCUAGAGUGCAGGAGAGGUAAGCGGAAUUCCUAGUGUAGCGGUGAAAUGCGUAGAUAUUAGGAGGAACACCAGUGGCGAAGGCGGCUUACUGGACUGUAACUGACACUGAGGCACGAAAGCGUGGGGAGCAAACAGGA